Pipistrellus kuhlii (Kuhl's pipistrelle) is the source of this 140-nucleotide long non-coding RNA. RefSeq lists it as uncharacterized. The record is from RefSeq and is a predicted model, not a curated record. Lineage: Eukaryota; Metazoa; Chordata; Mammalia; Chiroptera; Vespertilionidae. The transcript is spliced from 2 exons.
CAAGAACGAGUCAUCUCGAUGGCAAAGUAUUGAAAAGGGCUCUUGUGAUUUUCCUCCUUUUCUUUCUAACUUCCCUCCUAAUUCAAGACUAAGAUGCUGACAUGUCUUGAGUGACAAGAGCUGUCAGUCGUAGGCCCCCA